RNAcentral lists this ribosomal RNA (465 nucleotides) under Babesia canis canis. Its description in RNAcentral is "SSU rRNA". It matches the Rfam family "Eukaryotic small subunit ribosomal RNA", at positions 511 to 1026 of the family's 1831-position model. Lineage: Eukaryota; Apicomplexa; Aconoidasida; Piroplasmida; Babesiidae. The record is from RNAcentral.
UGAAUGAUGGUGACCCAAACCCUCACCAGAGUAGCAAUUGGAGGGCAAGUCUGGUGCCAGCAGCCGCGGUAAUUCCAGCUCCAAUAGCGUAUAUUAAACUUGUUGCAGUUAAAAAGCUCGUAGUUGUAUUUUUGCGUUGACGGUUUGACCAUUUGGUUGGUUAUUUCGUUUUCGCUUUUGGGAAUUUCCCUUUUUACUUUGAGAAAAUUAGAGUGUUUCAAGCAGACUUUUGUCUUGAAUACUUCAGCAUGGAAUAAUAGAGUAGGACUUUGGUUCUAUUUUGUUGGUUAUUGAACCUUAGUAAUGGUUAAUAGGAACGGUUGGGGGCAUUCGUAUUUAACUGUCAGAGGUGAAAUUCUUAGAUUUGUUAAAGACGAACUACUGCGAAAGCAUUUGCCAAGGACGUUUCCAUUAAUCAAGAACGAAAGUUAGGGGAUCGAAGACGAUCAGAUACCGUCGUAGUCC